CCGCUGCUUCUUCUUCUUCUACUGCUUCUCUUAUACAUUAAAAAAGCAGAGAUUCAUCAACGAAAUCCAUCAAAAACAUCAGCGUACGAAGAUUCAUCAACAACAUCAUUUCUUGAAGAUUUGUUCUGAAUCAAUGAAGAACAGUCGAUGAGGAUCAUCAAUAAUAGUCAGAUUACAUAUCUUCUCUUGCAUGAUGUUAUCCUUUCUGAUGCUAAUGUUCCUUGUGAAGGGGAACACAAAAUUAUGCUUUAUGUUCGUCUGCAAAGAAACCUUCCUGGUUUCAAUCCAAAUACUCGUCACUGCCUCUAUGGUUUAACAGGUGUAUUCCACGGAAUCAAGAAAGAUGGCGAGGGUGACACGGUUGAUUGCAAGAGUAGGUUGGAACUUCUUAUGGUGUCAUCUCCUGAUCGAGAAGAGGUGGAUGGGAGGAUGAUGACACUAUAGGCGAAGCCGCAUGUCAUGAAGCCUUGGAGGAAGCUAGAGUUAAAGGAAUACUAAAUGAAAGUUCCUUGGGAAUGUGGGAAUUCAAAAGUAAGAGCAGAUAGAAGAGCUGCAGUACGGAAGGAUCUUGCAGGCUUUACAUGUUUGCAUUGGAAUUGACUGAAGAACUUGAUACCUGGACAAAGGAGGAUAACCAUGGAAGAAGAUGGUCUUGGUUAUCCGGUUUUACAAUAUAACACUUCAGCAUGUACGUGACCUUUACCUGGAGUUAAGGAAGAAAUAUAGGGACCAUACAUAUGCGCUGCAAAGUUUGUAACUCAGUGGACCUGUUUUCAGAAGAAUACAUUUCGUGAGUUUCUAUAUGUACACUAGUUUGUUGUUAUACUUGGC
Molecule: long non-coding RNA, 831 nt
Organism: Papaver somniferum (opium poppy)
Lineage: Eukaryota; Viridiplantae; Streptophyta; Magnoliopsida; Ranunculales; Papaveraceae
Exons: 7
Source: RefSeq, a predicted model, not a curated record